RNAcentral lists this ribosomal RNA (1343 nucleotides) under metagenome. RNAcentral describes it as "bacterial LSU rRNA". It matches the Rfam family "Bacterial large subunit ribosomal RNA", at positions 1599 to 2925 of the family's 2925-position model. The record is from RNAcentral.
CCUAUGCUGCCGAGAAAAGCCUCUAGCGAGCUGGUACAUGGCCCGUACCCCAAACCGACACAGGUGGUCAGGUAGAGAAUACUAAGGCGAUCGAGAGAACUGUGGUUAAGGAACUCGGCAAAAUGCCCCCGUAACUUCGGGAGAAGGGGGACCAGUCCUGGUGACGACAUUUACUGUCUGAGCUGGGGUUGGUCGCAGAGACCAGAGAGAAGCGACUGUUUACUAAAAACACAGGUCCGUGCGAAGUCGUAAGACGAUGUAUACGGACUGACGCCUGCCCGGUGCUGGAAGGUUAAGAGGACCGGUCAGCCACUUCGGUGGCGAAGCUGAGAAUUUAAGCCCCAGUAAACGGCGGUGGUAACUAUAACCAUCCUAAGGUAGCGAAAUUCCUUGUCGGGUAAGUUCCGACCUGCACGAAUGGCGUAACGACUUCUCUGCUGUCUCAACCACAGACUCGGCGAAAUUGCAGUACGAGUAAAGAUGCUCGUUACGCGCGGCAGGACGAAAAGACCCCGGGACCUUCACUAUAGCUUGGUAUUGGUGUUCGGUUCGGUUUGUGUAGGAUAGGUGGGAGACUGUGAAACUCGCACGCCAGUGUGGGUGGAGUCAUUGUUGAAAUACCACUCUGACCGUAUUGGACAUCUAACCUCGGACCAUGAUCUGGUUCAGGGACAGUGCCUGGUGGGUAGUUUAACUGGGGCGGUUGCCUCCCAAAAAGUAACGGAGGCGCCCAAAGGUUCCCUCAGCCUGGUUGGCAAUCAGGUGUUGAGUGUAAGUGCACAAGGGAGCUUGACUGUGAGACGUACAUGUCGAGCAGGGACGAAAGUCGGGACUAGUGAUCCGGCACCGGCAAGUGGAAGCGGUGUCGCUCAACGGAUAAAAGGUACCCCGGGGAUAACAGGCUGAUCUUCCCCAAGAGUCCAUAUCGACGGGAUGGUUUGGCACCUCGAUGUCGGCUCGUCGCAUCCUGGGGCUGGAGUAGGUCCCAAGGGUUGGGCUGUUCGCCCAUUAAAGCGGCACGCGAGCUGGGUUUAGAACGUCGUGAGACAGUUCGGUCUCUAUCCGCCGCGCGCGUAAGAAACUUGAGGAAACCUGUCCCUAGUACGAGAGGACCGGGACGGACGAACCUCUGGUGUGCCAGUUGUUCCACCAGGAGCACCGCUGGUUAGCUACGUACGGAAGGGAUAACCGCUGAAAGCAUCUAAGCGGGAAGCCUGUUCCAAGAUGAGGUUUCUCACCACCUAGCGUGGUUAAGGCCCCCCACAGACCAUGGGGUUGAUAGGCCAGAACUGUAAGCACAGCAAUGUGUUCAGGUGACUGGUACUAAUCGGCCGAGGACUUAC